UACGAAGGGUGCAAGCGUUAAUCGGAAUUACUGGGCGUAAAGCGUGCGUAGGCGGUUUCUUAAGUCUGCUGUGAAAGCCCCGGGCUCAACCUGGGAAUGGCGGUGGAUACUGAGAAGCUGGAGUACGGUAGAGGAAGGUGGAAUUCCCGGUGUAGCGUUGAAAUGCGUAGAGAUCGGGAGGAACAUCAGUGGCGAAGGCGGCCUUCUGGACCAGUACUGACGCUGAGGCACGAAAGCGUGGGGAGCAAACAGG
RNAcentral lists this ribosomal RNA (253 nucleotides) under uncultured bacterium. Its description in RNAcentral is "partial 16S ribosomal RNA". It matches the Rfam family "Bacterial small subunit ribosomal RNA", at positions 524 to 776 of the family's 1533-position model. The record is from RNAcentral.